GUUGUCGUCAGCUCGUGUCGUGAGAUGUUGGGUUAAGUCCCGCAACGAGCGCAACCCCUAUCUUUAGUAGCCAGCGGCCAGGCCGGGCACUCUAGAGAGACUGCCAGGGAUAACCUGGAGGAAGGUGGGGAUGACGUCAAAUCAUCAUGCCCCUUAUGAGCAGGGCUACACACGUGCUACAAUGGCGUAAACAAAGGGAGGCAGAGCCGCGAGGCCGAGCAGAUCUCAAAAAUAACGUCUCAGUUCGGAUUGUAGUCUGCAACUCGACUACAUGAAGCUGGAAUCGCUAGUAAUCGCGAAUCAGAAUGUCGCGGUGAAUACGUUCCCGGGUCUUGUACACACCGCCCGUCACACCAUGGGAGUCAGUAGCGCCCGAAGUCAGUGACCCAACCGUAAGGAGGGAGCUGCCGAAGGUGGGACCGAUAACUGGGGUGAAGUCGUAACAAGGUAGCCGUAUCGGAAGGUGCGGCUGGAUCACCUC
Molecule: ribosomal RNA, 481 nt
Filed under: uncultured bacterium
Lineage: Bacteria
Description: bacterial SSU rRNA
Rfam family: Bacterial small subunit ribosomal RNA
Source: RNAcentral